Capsicum annuum is the source of this 643-nucleotide long non-coding RNA. RefSeq lists it as uncharacterized. The transcript is spliced from 2 exons. NCBI's taxonomy places the organism in Eukaryota, Viridiplantae, Streptophyta, Magnoliopsida, Solanales, Solanaceae. The record is from RefSeq and is a predicted model, not a curated record.
UGCGGUGCAUGAAAUUUUACUAAAUUGGACUAUUGGAGUAUGUCAUGAGUCAGACAUAUGUGUCAUUCAUCUAGCAAAUGUUUCCAAUUUUGUAACAUUAAUAAUGUUAACUCUCUUAAAUUAUACAUACAAGCUACUCCCAAAUACAAAAAUAUCUCACCCCACACAGGAAAAAAGACUGUUGGAAAAAGAAGAAGAUGAUGCACCACUAGUCAUCAAAAAGGAAAGAAAAUGGGAGAGAAUCCUUGCAAUAUUUUUGAUAGAAUGAUUAAAUCCACACUGAACUUUUUGGGGUACGGUAAUGGUCAUAACUCCAACUUUCUCUCCGUGUAUUCUCACCAACAAGAAGAAGAAAUGAUAUCCACGGAAAAUAUAGAGUGCAUGACAACAAGGUCUAUCAGUGUGAGGAAUUCAGCUAGAGGAAAAAGUCCUCCAAGGCCACCAGUGAAAUCUGGAGGAGAUGGUCAAACAAACUAUUCGUCUUACUAAUUAUGUAGUCUUUUUUUUUUUUUUUUUCUUUUUAAAGUUUGGUUUUCUGAAUAUCUUUUUGUUAUUUUAGUAAACUAUCAUCUGGGAUAUUUCUGUUAAAUAUUUCUAGUCCAAGAGGGAUCUUUUUGUUAAUUUAGCAAUCACUUUUCAUUUU